AUUGAACGCUGGCGGAAUGCUUUACACAUGCAAGUCGAACGGCAGCACGGACUUCGGUCUGGUGGCGAGUGGCGAACGGGUGAGUAAUGUAUCGGAACGUGCCCAGUCGUGGGGGAUAACGUAGUGAAAAUUACGCUAAUACCGCAUACGAUCUAUGGAUGAAAGCGGGGGAUCGCCAGACCUCGCGCGAUUGGAGCGGCCGAAAUCAGAUUAGGUAAUUGGUGGGGUAAAGGCCCACCAAGCCAACGAUCUGUAGCUGGUCUGAGAGGACGACCAGCCACACUGGAACUGAGACACGGUCCAGACUCCUACGGGAGGCAGCAGUGGGGAAUUUUGGACAAUGGGCGAAAGCCUGAUCCAGCCAUUCCGCGUGCAGGAUGAAGGCCCUCGGGUUGUAAACUGCUUUUGUACAGAACGAAAAGGUUUCUACUAAUACUAGGAGCUCAUGACGGUACUGUAAGAAUAAGCACCGGCUAACUACGUGCCAGCAGCCGCGGUAA
RNAcentral lists this ribosomal RNA (500 nucleotides) under uncultured bacterium. RNAcentral's name for it is "partial 16S ribosomal RNA". It matches the Rfam family "Bacterial small subunit ribosomal RNA", at positions 30 to 523 of the family's 1533-position model. The record is from RNAcentral.